AUGAAUCACAGAGCUUACACAUCUCUCUGAGGGAUACAAGUAUGGCUGUUAACCUUUUCCAAUCAUGCUGGGCGGUUCCACCACUUCUAGAUUUUAGAGGCUGUGGGGAAUCAAGAUUCUUCCAUCAUGAAGUGUGUCAUAUGCAGUUCUGACCAGCAGGAUGUGGAGUGAUGGGUGUUCAGCUCAGCUGUCAUGGGAUGCCGUAUGACUGAUGGGCCAGCCUGAUGUUUACGCUGUCUUGACCUCUGACCCUGAAGGGUCGAGCUGUUGUACGUCACCCAUCUCUGGCACUUCAGACCAGACCAUCUCUCACUGUCUCCUCAUCUCCACAGCGACCAGACGGCUGUGAGGCCACUGGAUGGAGGGAGUGCAAUGAGCUGUCUUUUUUCUAAUGAAUAGUGCUACUAUUCUGUGAGUGACCUGUCAGAUGUGACAGGCGAGACGUGAGGGAUUGUUCAAAGGCCUGCAAGAGGAGCUGACAGGUCUCCUGAAGAGUGAUGGCUAUUUCCACAUACAGUGUUACUGGCACGAGCGAGGAGAAUGGCAGCCCUCGCAAGUCCACCUCCACUCCUGUCAGCAGGAUAGUUAACACAACACUGAGGGCCAUAAGUCAGAAGCCAAAGGUCAAAGGUCAAGGUGGUCCUGAGGCUCUCUUUUUCUGAAUUUCUAUUUUAUUUGACUUUUUUCCCGUGAAUACUUCACACAUGGUAAUAGUAGAGAGAAAUGGUAAGAAGUAAAUUAUUUUUCAUGCCCCAAGUCAAACCAGAUAUGCUAUUCCAGUCGCUCCACAAAACAGACAUGCUUAUAAUAAAUGACAAAAAUAAAUAGCA
Molecule: long non-coding RNA, 830 nt
Organism: Cyprinus carpio (common carp)
Lineage: Eukaryota; Metazoa; Chordata; Actinopteri; Cypriniformes; Cyprinidae
Source: Ensembl